AGAGUUUGAUCCUGGCUCAGAAUCAACGCUGGCGGCNNNCUAACACAUGCAAGUCGCACGAGAAAGGGGAGCAAUCCCUGAGUAAAGUGGCGCACGGGUGAGUAACACGUGACUAACCUACCUCCGAGUGGGGAAUAACUGAGAGAAAUCUUAGCUGAUACCGCAUAACACUUACGAGUCAAAGCAGCAAUGCGCUUGGAGAGGGGGUCGCGGCAGAUUAGUUAGUUGGCGGGGUAAUGGCCCACCAAGACGAUGAUCUGUAUCCGGCCUGAGAGGGCGCACGGACACACUGGAACUGAAACACGGUCCAGACUCCUACGGGAGGCAGCAGUGGGGAAUUUUGCGCAAUGGGGGAAACCCUGACGCAGCAACGCGCGUGGAGGAUGAAAUAUCUUGGUAUGUAAACUCCUUUCGAUGGGGAAGAUUAUGACGGUACCCAUAGAAGAAGCCCCGGCUAACUUCGUGCCAGCAGCCGCGGUAAUACGAGGGGGGCAAGCGUUGUUCGGAUUUAUUGGGCGUAAAGGGUGCGUAGGGGUUUGGCAAGUCUGAUGUGAAAUCUAUGGGCUCAACCCAUAGUCUGCAUCAGAAACUGCCGGGCUUGAGUAUGGGAGAGGUGAGUGGAAUUUCCGGUGUAGCGGUGAAAUGCGUAGAUAUCGGAAGGAACACCUGUGGCGAAAGGGCUCACUGGACCAUAACUGACGCUGAUGCACGAAAGCUAGGGGAGCAAACAGGAUUAGAUACCCNNGUAGUCC
This 752-nucleotide ribosomal RNA is filed under the name uncultured bacterium. Its description in RNAcentral is "bacterial SSU rRNA". It matches the Rfam family "Bacterial small subunit ribosomal RNA", at positions 8 to 796 of the family's 1533-position model. The record is from RNAcentral.